RNAcentral lists this ribosomal RNA (497 nucleotides) under uncultured bacterium. RNAcentral describes it as "partial 16S ribosomal RNA". It matches the Rfam family "Bacterial small subunit ribosomal RNA", at positions 28 to 507 of the family's 1533-position model. The record is from RNAcentral.
GAUGAACGCUGGCGGCGUGCCUAAUACAUGCAAGUCGAGCGAACGGACGAGAAGCUUUCUUCUUUGAUGUUAGCGGCGGACGGGUGAGUAACACGUGGGUAACACACCUUUAAGACUGGGAUAACCUCGUGAAACCGGUGCUAAUACCGGCAGAUAUUCUCAACCGCAUGGUUCAAAAGUGAAAGACGGUCUUGCUGUCACUGAGAGAUGGUUCCGGGCUGCAUUAGCUAGUUGGUAAGGUAACGGCUUACCAAGGCAACGAUGCAUAGCUGAUCUGAGAGGGUGACCAGCCACACUGGAACUGAGACACGGUCCAGACUCCUACGGGAGGCAGCAGUGGGGAAUAUUGCGCAAUGGGCGAAAGCCUGACGGAGCCACGCCGCGUGUAUGAAGAAGGUCUUCGGGUCGUAAAGUACUGUUAGUGGGGAGGAACGGAUUUGUGUGAAAACCUGCACAUAUUGACGGUACCUGAUGAAAAAGCCACGGCUAACUACGUG